GAAGGGAUUGAUUUCUGUACAAUGGAAAAUUAGAAUCCAUCCCAACUACUGGAAGAGGAGAUUUCUUUCCCAGAGACUACUGUGGUCAAUAAUUAUCAUGUGAAGAGAGAGCCAAUGAUGACGAAGAUGGAAAAUAAGUGAGAGGAUGAGGAGAAGAUGGAGUUUUCGUUAAAAUCAAGUCAUCAUUAGCCAUUCACUCAAAAUUCAGUGAAUAUCAGGGGUAUCUACCUUCUUAUUAUUGAACCUUUCAACAAAUGAAGUGUGUAGUUAGUUACUAAUCCCCCUAUCAUAGCUGUGUGGAUGUAGCUGAUUCCUCUGCUUCAUUCAGCAGUGCCUCCAUUGCUAAUAAACUACAGAUGCAUACAAUAUCAUUUCAAAUUGCUGAAGAGGACAGUGUGACUUCCUAUUGGAUAGAUAUACUUAUGUUGAUCACUUACGUUGAAGUGUGUCUCUCAUUGGUUGGACCAAUCUUAAAUCCUAGCAUUGCUGAUAGUCAGAUAAGAAAGAAAGAUUCCAGCAAGUUCACAUUCAGCUAUGUGGCUCUGUGCUAAUCAUUGGAAUUAGUAAAACAUCAGUGAGGCCACUUUGUAUAAGCAUAGGAGCUCUUAUACAUUACUUGUUAACUGGAUGUGGAUAGGAACAGAAGUUGUGCUGAUUUUUCAAAAAAUUGUAAUAGUGUUUAUAAACUUAACUUGGCGAUAU
Amphimedon queenslandica is the source of this 702-nucleotide long non-coding RNA. RefSeq lists it as uncharacterized. NCBI's taxonomy places the organism in Eukaryota, Metazoa, Porifera, Demospongiae, Haplosclerida, Niphatidae. The transcript is spliced from 5 exons. The record is from RefSeq and is a predicted model, not a curated record.